This 468-nucleotide ribosomal RNA is filed under the name uncultured bacterium. RNAcentral describes it as "partial 16S ribosomal RNA". It matches the Rfam family "Bacterial small subunit ribosomal RNA", at positions 28 to 507 of the family's 1533-position model. The record is from RNAcentral.
GACGAACGCUGGCGGCGUGCUUAACACAUGCAAGUCGAACGGAAAGGCCCUGCCUUGGUGGGGUGCGCGAGGGGCGAACGGGUGAGUAACACGUGAGUAACCUGUCCCUGACUUUGGGAUAACUUCAUGAAACUGGGGCUAAUAGCGGAUAGGAGCUCCUGCUGCAUGGUGGGGGUGGGAAAGUUUCGGCGGUUGGGGAUGGACUCGCGGCUCAUCAGCUUGUUGGAGGGGUAGUGGGUUAGCAAGGCUUUGACGGGUGGCCGGCCUGGGCGGGUGAGCGGCCCCGCUGGACUUGAGCUGCGACCCGGCCUCCUCCGGGACGCAGCGCUGCGGUAUGUUGCACUGUGGGCGGAGCCAUGGUCCAGCCCCGCCGCGCGGCGGAUGACGGCCUUCGGUUUGUAUUCCAAAUUCGCCUGUCACGAAGCGUGAGUGACGGUACUGGGUAAAGAAGCACCGGCUAACUCCGUG